GAUGAACGCUAGCGGGAGGCCUAACACAUGCAAGCCGAGCGGUAUUUCUUCUUCGGGAGAGAGAGAGCGGCGUACGGGUGCGGAACACGUGUGCAACCUGCCUUUAUCUAGAGGAUAGCCUUUCGAAAGGAAGAUUAAUACCCUAUAAUAUAUUAAUUGGCAUCAAUUGAUAUUGAAAACUCCGGUGGAUAGAGAUGGGCACGCGCAAGAUUAGCUAGUUGGUGAGGUAACGGCUCACCAAGGCAAUGAUCUUUAGGGGGCCUGAGAGGGUGCUCCCCCACACUGGUACGGAGACACGGACCAGACUCCUACGGGAGGCAGCAGUGAGGAAUAUUGGUCAAUGGGUGCAAGCCUGAACCAGCCAGCCCGCGUGAAGGAUUAAGGUCCUAUGGAUUGUAAACUUCUUUUGUAUAGGGAUAAACCUACCCUCGUGAGGGUAGCUGAAGGUACUAUACGAAUAAGCACCGGCUAACUCCGUGCCAGCAGCCGCCGUAA
Molecule: ribosomal RNA, 495 nt
Filed under: uncultured bacterium
Lineage: Bacteria
Description: partial 16S ribosomal RNA
Rfam family: Bacterial small subunit ribosomal RNA
Source: RNAcentral